GCCCCUAUCGUCUAGUGGCCUAGGACGCCGCCCUCUCACGGCGGUAACGUCGGUUCAAAUCCGUCUGGGGGUACCA
RNAcentral lists this transfer RNA (76 nucleotides) under Actinomycetaceae bacterium. RNAcentral's name for it is "tRNA-Glu". It matches the Rfam family "tRNA". From Rfam's summary of the family: Transfer RNA (tRNA) molecules are approximately 80 nucleotides in length. Lineage: Bacteria; Bacillati; Actinomycetota; Actinomycetes; Actinomycetales; Actinomycetaceae. The record is from RNAcentral.